UGAAGAGGCAAUCGGUUUUUGUUCAUCAGUUGUUUAUACCUGGAUAUCUCAUACCGAUUCACGAUUUGUGAUCUAGCAAUAUUAACCCCGAUGAAAUAUGAAGACGAUGUUGCUGGUCAUGUACGGAAACUAUGAAGCCAAGGGUGAACUACGGUUGAUUAUUGUCGACAAAAGAUAAGAGACUAACAUUACUGUUCCUUUUUUUGGCUGGUUUUAUCUUCCACACAACUGACGCAGUUCAACAUUUUCUAUUGCAGUUUACUUUGUGUUGUUUCCAUCUUCACGGGUUAAUAAGAAACAUCAAUAUAUGAUUCAUGAACAGAUCUGAGGAUCAUUAAAAGAGAUAAGGUAGCUGUGCUACGAUUUAAAUAGUGUAUGUGUCUAGAGAAAAUCUGGGAUAAAAGAUAAGUGAAUAAUCCCAGAUUUUAUAUAUUUGUACUCAAUUUAUAUUUCUCAUUGACAUCUUUGUUAGAAUUGACUUCAGGUAGAUUUCUUUUGCAGGUUUUGUGUUAAUGGUACUUAACAUUAUUAUCAGAAACAUAAAUUAAAAGAUCUGAUAAAACUCAUCUCUCUUAAUUGAGAACAUUAUAGAAAAAAGAUAAGUCCCAAAGUUCCAGUUCACUCUCUUACUAUUCCAUUCAAUUUUUUUGACUAAUAACUUUUGUAAAACUAACUAAUGGUAGAUUCCUUUUGCAGGUUUUCAUUACAUACUGAAAUGCGUAUAACAAACCCUUAGCACGAAUUGGGUAUAAUAUUUGUCUGUUCUUCAAACCAUCUUACGAAACGACAAAACCUCAAAACUCUAGAUCUAAAUUCCUCUCACUCGACGAAAUUGUAAACCCUUGAUGGCUGAAGUAAAGAAAAGAGGCGGAGGAAGAAGAAACCCCUCUAAUCGAACCUCUGGAACCUCACAAACAACGAAUCACAGACCCACCAAUCUUCCUCCCCAGUAUACCUUCACGCCGGCGAACCAUCGAGUUCCAGAGACUGAUUCUCAUGGAACUCCUGUCCCAAACCUCCAGCCUCCAGCGAGACCUACACCUUCUUACCGAGACUAUCCACCUUCGACAAAUCUGUUCCAGCACUCGAGGAGCUUUCCCGGAACAUUUCCUUCAGGUGAAGUUCCAACCAGGCGUCCUUUUCCUCAACCUCUCGCCUCUGCGACGAAUCCACCAGAAUUCUCGAGUCAACUUCGAGAGUCUCCUCAACCGUCAGUCACGAAUCAUCAUCGACAGUCUCCUCAAGUCUCGAAUCUACCACGAGAGUCUCCUCUACCUCGACAGUCUCAUCGACCACCCUCUUCUCAACCUAGUCAACCUCGAGCAGCUUCUGCAUCGCUUCACAGUUCUCAAGCGCAAAACUCACAUGAGGAAGAAGCUGAUUCGGAGGAUGACGGUGCAAGGGAAUCAAAUCUCCCAGCUGAUGUACUCGCUUCUUUACAUGACAUGCUUGUCCAAC
Molecule: non-coding RNA, 1458 nt
Organism: Camelina sativa (false flax)
Lineage: Eukaryota; Viridiplantae; Streptophyta; Magnoliopsida; Brassicales; Brassicaceae
Source: RefSeq, a predicted model, not a curated record